CAGGAAGUAGUUUAUAAAAAAUAUUAAUUUUGGAGAUUAAUGAUGAAGCAAAGAUCCUUCUUGA
Molecule: transfer RNA, 64 nt
Filed under: Falcicornis taibaishanensis
Lineage: Eukaryota; Metazoa; Arthropoda; Insecta; Coleoptera; Lucanidae
Description: tRNA-Pro
Source: RNAcentral